RNAcentral lists this ribosomal RNA (455 nucleotides) under Lachnella villosa. RNAcentral's name for it is "LSU rRNA". It matches the Rfam family "Bacterial large subunit ribosomal RNA", at positions 1720 to 2100 of the family's 2925-position model. Lineage: Eukaryota; Fungi; Basidiomycota; Agaricomycetes; Agaricales; Niaceae. The record is from RNAcentral.
AAUUAUCCUCAUAAGUUUGACAACAAGAGGUACCACUUUAAUAUUUAUAGUUUGCCUGCCUUGCUUCACCUCUCCCCCUUAUAAAGGGGAGAUUUUUGAGCAUGAAGGGUAGGGUAUUAUAUUUAUUAGAGGGGGUGACACAAAAUCGGAAGCCCCGACUGUUUACUAAAAACAUAGUUCUGUGCAAUCACGAAAGUGGUAGUAUAUGGAAUGAAAUUUGUCCAAUGCCAUAAUAAUAAAAAAGGUCAUAUGAAUAAUGUGAUUACUUGAAAAACUGGUCAAUGACGGUCUUAACCUUGAGGAUCCUAAGGUAGCAUAAUCAGUUGGCCAUUAAAUGUGGUCUGGUAUCAAUAAUGUAACGAUGGCUUCACUGUCUCUACUACUUGCUCAGUGAAAUUGAAUUACGCGUGAAGAUGCGCGUUACUUUCGAAGGGACGGGAAGACCCUAUGCAGCU